RNAcentral lists this ribosomal RNA (503 nucleotides) under uncultured bacterium. RNAcentral describes it as "partial 16S ribosomal RNA". It matches the Rfam family "Bacterial small subunit ribosomal RNA", at positions 30 to 523 of the family's 1533-position model. The record is from RNAcentral.
AUUGAACGCUGGCGGCAGGCUUAACACAUGCAAGUCGAGCGGGGUGAUGGUGCUUGCACUAUCACUUAGCGGCGGACGGGUGAGUAAUGAUUAGGAAUCUGCCUAUUAGUGGGGGACAACAGCUCGAAAGGGAAGCUAAUACCGCAUACGUCCUACGGGUGAAAGCAGGGGAUCACUUGUGACCUUGGGCUAAUAGAUGAGCCUAAGUCGGAUUAGCUAGUUGGUGGGGUAAAGGCCUACCAAGGCGACGAGCUGUAGCGGGUCUGAGAGGAUGAUCCGCCACACUGGGCCUGAGACACGGCCCAGACUCCUACGGGAGGCAGCAGUGGGGAAUAUUGGACAAUGGGGGGAACCCUGAUCCAGCCAUGCCGCGUGUGUGGAGAAGGCCUUAUGGUUGUAAAGCACUUUAAGCGAGGAGGAGGCUCUUUUGGUUAAUACCCAAGAUGAGUGGACGUUACUCGCAGAAUAAGCACCGGCUAACUCUGUGCCAGCCGCCGCCGUAA